Molecule: ribosomal RNA, 494 nt
Filed under: uncultured bacterium
Lineage: Bacteria
Description: bacterial SSU rRNA
Rfam family: Bacterial small subunit ribosomal RNA
Source: RNAcentral
AUCCUGGCUCAGAUUGAACGCUGGCGGCAUGCUUUACACAUGCAAGUCGAACGGUAACAGGUCUUCGGAUGCUGACGAGUGGCGAACGGGUGAGUAAUGCAUCGGAACGUACCCAGUCGUGGGGGAUAACGUAGCGAAAGCUACGCUAAUACCGCAUACGAUCUAUGGAUGAAAGCGGGAGACCGUAAGGCCUCGCGCGAUUGGAGCGGCCGAUGUCAGAUUAGGUAGUUGGUGGGGUAAAGGCUCACCAAGCCAACGAUCUGUAGCUGGUCUGAGAGGACGACCAGCCACACUGGAACUGAGACACGGUCCAGACUCCUACGGGAGGCAGCAGUGGGGAAUUUUGGACAAUGGGCGCAAGCCUGAUCCAGCAAUGCCGCGUGCAGGAAGAAGGCCUUCGGGUUGUAAACUGCUUUUGUACGGAACGAAACGGUCUGGAUUAAUACUCUGGGCUAAUGACGGUACCGUAAGAAUAAGCACCGGCUAACUACGUG